RNAcentral lists this ribosomal RNA (477 nucleotides) under Arthrobacter sp. 2(2011). RNAcentral's name for it is "bacterial SSU rRNA". It matches the Rfam family "Bacterial small subunit ribosomal RNA", at positions 307 to 796 of the family's 1533-position model. RNAcentral also lists the same sequence under 4 other names. The record is from RNAcentral. Lineage: Bacteria; Bacillati; Actinomycetota; Actinomycetes; Micrococcales; Micrococcaceae.
GCCACACUGGGACUGAGACACGGCCCAGACUCCUACGGGAGGCAGCAGUGGGGAAUAUUGCACAAUGGGCGGAAGCCUGAUGCAGCGACGCCGCGUGAGGGAUGACGGCCUUCGGGUUGUAAACCUCUUUCAGUAGGGAAGAAGCGAAAGUGACGGUACCUGCAGAAGAAGCGCCGGCUAACUACGUGCCAGCAGCCGCGGUAAUACGUAGGGCGCAAGCGUUAUCCGGAUUUAUUGGGCGUAAAGAGCUCGUAGGCGGUUUGUCGCGUCUGCCGUGAAAGUCCGAGGCUCAACCUCGGAUCUGCGGUGGGUACGGGCAGACUAGAGUGAUGUAGGGGAGACUGGAAUUCCUGGUGUAGCGGUGAAAUGCGCAGAUAUCAGGAGGAACACCGAUGGCGAAGGCAGGUCUCUGGGCAUUUACUGACGCUGAGGAGCGAAAGCAUGGGGAGCGAACAGGAUUAGAUACCCUGGUAGUCC